This is a long non-coding RNA of Carassius auratus (goldfish), 809 nucleotides long. RefSeq lists it as uncharacterized. The transcript has 3 exons. The record is from RefSeq and is a predicted model, not a curated record. Lineage: Eukaryota; Metazoa; Chordata; Actinopteri; Cypriniformes; Cyprinidae.
UAUUAUCAAUGUCGUUCUAUUACCUUGCAUGUGGGGAACUCCAGUCUGAACUAUGAGUAUUUGUCCUAUGAGUCCGAUCCAGUUUUCAUUGGAUUCACUACCUUUCAGGUGGGCAAUGAUCUACAGGUGAACAUUAAGAAAAGGGCAGAUAUGUUGCAUUUGAGUGUGAAUGAGGUGACUGUGACGGGUCUACAGGGAGAUCAGCAGUAUCAGUGUGUUUUGGAGGAAAUUCAGUCCAAAGCUGUCAUAUGUAAGAUUAAAGGAGAAUCAGGAGCCGUCACAGCAGUGGAGUCACUCCGAGUCAACGUUGGAAAUUUUUAUACUUACCUAAGACAAGAAAGACCAAAGUAUUUGGGAUUUUUUUCUAUAGCAUUUUCUUUAGUAUUCGUAUUCUUUUGUCUUAUCUUUUUGAUUUUGUUAUCAAUUUUUCGGGCUUAACAUAACUUCCAAUCUUUUUUUCCUGUUCAGUGGCCACUCCAAAUAAGAUAUAUACAAACAUGCAGCCUUUUUUAAGUGAAAUUGUGUUGUAAAGUUAAUUUUAAGUCAGAGUAAAAUCUCUCAUCCUUUGGCUGGUCAGAAAUCUCCCGUCAGAUCCAAACUGUAGAGCUGUUCUCCAGACAGCAGGUGGCGCUUUAUACUCACAUAUUAUGAUACGCUGCAAAAACAUUGCCAUUCAAACACUGUAGUAUAAUUAUUUUGCAUUAGUAGGCUUUAAUUGUAUCUUUCUCAUUGUUCUCUUGUUAAUCUGAAAGUUUGAUGUUAUCGCUAUACUGUAAAACAAAGUGUAAUUAAAUAAAGAUUUUUUCCAU